CCGGGUGGCAGCAGUGGGGGAUAUUGCACAAUGGGGGGAACCCUGCUGCAGCGACGCCGCGUGGGUGAAGGAGCGUUUCGGCGCGUAAAGCCCUAUCGGCAGGGAAGAAGAAGGACGGUACCUGACUAAGAAGCCCCGGCUAACUACGUGCCAGCAGCCGCGGUAAUACGGAGGGGGCACGCGUUAUCCGGAUUGACUGGGUGUAAAGGGGGCGCAGACGGCAGCGCAAGCCAGGAGUGAAAGCCCGGGGCCCAACCCCGGGACUGCUCUUGGAACUGCGCGGCUGGAGUGCAGGAGGGGCAGGCGGAAUUCCUGGUGUAGCGGUGAAAUGCGUAGAUAUCAGGAGGAACACCGGUGGCGAAGGCGGCCUGCUGGACUGCGACUGACGUUGAGGCCCGAAAGCGUGGGGAGCAAACAGGAUUAGAUACCCGAGUAGUC
This 438-nucleotide ribosomal RNA is filed under the name uncultured bacterium. RNAcentral's name for it is "partial 16S ribosomal RNA". It matches the Rfam family "Bacterial small subunit ribosomal RNA", at positions 341 to 795 of the family's 1533-position model. The record is from RNAcentral.